RNAcentral lists this ribosomal RNA (863 nucleotides) under uncultured organism. RNAcentral's name for it is "bacterial SSU rRNA". It matches the Rfam family "Bacterial small subunit ribosomal RNA", at positions 541 to 1405 of the family's 1533-position model. The record is from RNAcentral.
UUAUCCGGAUUUAAUUGGGUUUAAAGGUUACGUAGCCGGGAGCUUAAGUCAGUGGUGAAAUCCUGCAGCUUAACUGUAGAACUGUCAUCGAUACUGGGCUUCUUGAAUGUAGUUGAGCUAGUCGGAAUCUGUAAUGUAGCGGUGAAAUGCUUAGAUAUGACACAGUACACCGAUUGCGAAGGCAGCUUACUAAACUACGAUUGACGCUGAGGUACGAAAGCGUGGGGAGCGAACAGGAUUAGAUACCCUGGUAGUCCACGCUGUAAACGAUGAUCACUCGUUGUUGGCAAUACACCGUCAGCGACUGAGCGAAAGCAUUAAGUGAUCCACCUGGGGAGUACGACCGCAAGGUUGAAACUCAAAGGAAUUGACGGGGGCCCGCACAAGCGGAGGAACAUGUGGUAUAAGUCGAUGAUACGCGAGGAACCUUACAUGGGCGUAAAUGUAGAACGACGGACCGGGAAACUGGUCUUUCUUCGGACGGUCAGCAAGGUGCUGCAUGGCUGUCGUCAGCUCGUGCCGUGAGGUGUCGGGUUAAGUCCCAUAACGAGCGCAACCCUCAUCAUUAGUUGCCAGCGGGCAAUGCCGGGGACUCUAAUGAAACUGCCGGUGUAUACCGAGAGGAAGGUGGGGAUGAUGUCAAGUCAGCACGGCCCUUAUGUCCAGGGCUACACCAUGUUUUACAAUGGUCGGUACAAAGGGCAAGCUACCUGGCAACAGGAUGAUAAUCUUGAAAACCGAUCUCAGCUCGGCUCGAAGUCGGGCAAUUCGAGUUCGUGAAGAUGGAUUCGCUAGUAAUCGCGCAUCAGCCAUGGCCCGGUGAAUACGUUCCCGGCCCUUGUACACACCACCCGUCAAGCCAU